AUGACCGGCGAGCGCCAAAAGGCUACCGGUGGCGGGAGCCCGGGAGGGCGUGGUGCCACUGCUCAUGGACAUGCAGAUUUUCUGGAGAGCGGUCGAUGCUGUGUAUGGAUCAGCCAGGCGGGUUGGAUCAAUGCUAGGGAAAGGGAAUGUGAGUUUAGAGCAACUCCAACGGGCCGACCCAAAUGGACGGUGAUUUUGUCCGGUUUUCGUCUGUUUGGGUCGGCCAGACGGACACGGAUGCCCGCUUCCGUAUUUGGGUCGGCGCAUGCGCCCAACACUGGCCUGAGACCCAUUUUGACGGCGCCAAAAAAAUGA
This 315-nucleotide ribosomal RNA is filed under the name Triticum aestivum (bread wheat). Its description in RNAcentral is "partial small subunit ribosomal RNA". The record is from RNAcentral. Lineage: Eukaryota; Viridiplantae; Streptophyta; Magnoliopsida; Poales; Poaceae.